Molecule: transfer RNA, 89 nt
Filed under: Clostridiales bacterium
Lineage: Bacteria; Bacillati; Bacillota; Clostridia; Eubacteriales
Description: tRNA-Ser
Rfam family: tRNA
About the family: Transfer RNA (tRNA) molecules are approximately 80 nucleotides in length. Their secondary structure includes four short double-helical elements and three loops (D, anti-codon, and T loops).
Source: RNAcentral
GGAGAGAUGUCCGAGUGGUUUAAGGAGCUGGUCUUGAAAACCAGUGACCCCGCAAGGGGCCAAGGGUUCGAAUCCCUUUCUCUCCGCCA